GUAGGUGGCAGGGCGUUGUCCGGAAUUAUUGGGCGUAAAGCGCGCGCAGGCGGUUCUUUAAGUCUGAUGUGAAAGCCCACGGGCUCAACCGUGGAGGGUCAUUGGAAACUGGAGAACUUGAGUACAGAAGAGGAAAGCGGAAUUCCACGUGUAGCGGUGAAAUGCGUAGAGAUGUGGAGGAACACCAGUGGCGAAGGCGGCUUUCUGGUCUGUAACUGACGCUGAGGCGCGAAAGCGUGGGGAGCAAACAGGAUUAGAUACCCUGGUAGUCCACGCCGUAAACGAUGAGUGCUAAGUGUUAGGGGGUUUCCGCCCCUUAGUGCUGCAGCUAACGCAUUAAGCACUCCGCCUGGGGAGUACGGCCGCAAGGCUG
Molecule: ribosomal RNA, 373 nt
Filed under: uncultured organism
Description: partial 16S ribosomal RNA
Rfam family: Bacterial small subunit ribosomal RNA
Source: RNAcentral